GGUUAACGGAGCGUGGGUCACCCAAGGAGACUGAGCAGGCUGCUGUGGAAAUUGACAAGACAGCAUGCACGGACACACACUCUCGCAUGCACACACAGCUGUGGAUGUUAUUGGCUGACGGAUGGGGUGGCCAUUCCAUUUGUGCUUCUAACUGUGUGUGUGUGUAGGAUUUUAGUGACACUGACUUGGUAUUUCUGGAAUGAUGAAAGAGAAGAUGCUCUCCCUGUCCCUGUCCCUCUCUCUUUCACACAAACCCUACCUGGCAGCAUUGAAGCCCUUCUAGAGAAGCGUAGCAGAGGUAACAGGCUGUCACUGCAGCCUCAAAGGAAACAAGAACCCACACUGUCAGGGAUGGGGAGAGGGGGAAUGAGAGAGAGCCAGGCAGAGAGGAGGAAGAGGGAUCCCCCUGGGAAUACACUCAUUGUUUACACGUAAUUUCAAUGAAAUGACUUUGAACCAACAUGGAAUAGAUGUUGGGAAAUGUGUUGGAGAGAGGCAGGAAGAGAAAUGGAGUGAAGGAUGGGACUAACAGGAUUUUGGUUUUCAGUUCUGAUAUUUUGCUGCUGUUGGUGUUUACUAUUUACAGAGAUGUUUACCAUAUUGUUUACGGUGUUGUUCUGAGCUCCCUGUAUCUUCUCACAUCAUCAUUUAAAUCUAGUCAAAAUGCCUUAGCCCAACCAUGUCUGCAGAUAAAGAGGUUUUCUGGUGGGUCUGUGUGUGUGCGUGGGUGUUUGUUUGUGCUUGCUUAUGCAUAUGCGUGUGCCAGCCUACGCAUGAAAACGAAGAGGUAGUCAUCUCGAUUCGUGCUGAUAUAUGCUACGAAGGCCCUCCUCCCUCAUUAACUUAAAGUCGAGGGUCUGAAAGCAGUGCUCACUUUCAGCAGAGUUCCUUUUUUGGAAGUGCGUGUGUGAAGUCAGGUUCUAGGAGAGUUUCAUUGUUGGAAGUGCGUGUGCGAAGUCAGGUUCUAGGAGAGUUUCAUUGUUGGAAGUGCGUGUGCUAUGUCAGGUUCUAGGAGAGUUUCAUUGUUGGAAGUGCGUGUGCUAUGUCAGGUUCUAGGAGAGUUUCAUUGUUGGAAGUGCGUGUGCUAUGUCAGGUUCGAGGAGAGUUUCAUUGUUGGAAGUGCGUGUGCUAUGUCAGGUUCUAGGAGAGUUUCAUUGUUGGAAGUGCGUGUGCGAAGUCAGGUUCUAGGAGAGUUUCAUUGUUGGAAGUGCGUGUGCGAAGUCAGGUUCGAGGAAAGUUUCAUUGUUGGAAGUGCGUGUGCGAAGUCAGGUUCGAGGAGAGUUUCAUUGUUGGAAGUGCGUGUGCGAAGUCAGGUUCGAGGAGAGUUUCAUUGUUGGAAGUGCGUGUGCGAAGUCAGGUUCUAGGAGAGUUUCAUUGUUGGAAGUGCGUGUGCGAAGUCAGGUUCGAGGAGAGUUUCAUUGUUGGAAGUGCGUGUGUGAAGUCAGGUUCGAGGAGAGUUUCAUUGUUGGAAGUGCGUGUGCGAAGUCAGG
This is a long non-coding RNA of Oncorhynchus masou masou (cherry salmon), 1490 nucleotides long. RefSeq lists it as uncharacterized. Lineage: Eukaryota; Metazoa; Chordata; Actinopteri; Salmoniformes; Salmonidae. The record is from RefSeq and is a predicted model, not a curated record. The transcript has 2 exons.